GGUAGUCCACGCCGUAAACGAUGUCGACUUGGAGGUUGUGCCCUUGAGGCGUGGCUUCCGGAGCUAACGCGUUAAGUCGACCGCCUGGGGAGUACGGCCGCAAGGUUAAAACUCAAAUGAAUUGACGGGGGCCCGCACAAGCGGUGGAGCAUGUGGUUUAAUUCGAUGCAACGCGAAGAACCUUACCUACUCUUGACAUCCAGAGAACUUAGCAGAGAUGCUUUGGUGCCUUCGGGAACUCUGAGACAGGUGCUGCAUGGCUGUCGUCAGCUCGUGUUGUGAAAUGUUGGGUUAAGUCCCGCAACGAGCGCGACCCUUAUCCUUUGUUGCCAGCGGUUAGGCCGGGAACUCAAAGGAGACUGCCAGUGAUAAACUGGAGGAAGGUGGGGAUGACGUCAAGUCAUCAUGGCCCUUACGAGUAGGGCUACACACGUGCUACAAUGGCGCAUACAAAGAGAAGCGACCUCGCGAGAGCAAGCGGACCUCAUAAAGUGCGUCGUAGUCCGGAUUGGAGUCUGCAACUCGACUCCAUGAAGUCGGAAUCGCUAGUAAUCGUAGAUCAGAAUGCUACGGUGAAUACGUUCCCGGGCCUUGUACACACCGCCCGUCACACCAUGGGAGUGGGUUGCAAAAGAAGUAGGUAGCUUAACCUUCGGGAGGGCGCUUACCACUUUGUGAUUCAUGACUGGGGUGAAGUCGUAACAAGGUAACCGUAGGGGAACCUGC
This 726-nucleotide ribosomal RNA is filed under the name uncultured bacterium. Its description in RNAcentral is "bacterial SSU rRNA". It matches the Rfam family "Bacterial small subunit ribosomal RNA", at positions 789 to 1515 of the family's 1533-position model. The record is from RNAcentral.